This is a long non-coding RNA of Amphiprion ocellaris (clown anemonefish), 2234 nucleotides long. NCBI's taxonomy places the organism in Eukaryota, Metazoa, Chordata, Actinopteri, Pomacentridae. The record is from Ensembl.
UAUGUCUAUGGUCAGCACGUCUGGUAGCAUCUCUGGCUGCUGUUGAUCUUGUUUUUGGAGUAAAACACGGUGGAAGCUGAAUUAGUGAGGAUGACUCCUGCUCCUGUCAUCUCUAAGCUCCUCACACAUCUUUACCUGCACAUGAGGAAAAUCACUCCUGUAGAAUGCAGAUGUUCAGAGGGAGAUGAUGCCACAUCUGGUCCAGCUGAUGGAAGGUCUUGAAGUUCUCUGACUGGCCUCGACUGAAGAUGGUCGUCUCACUGGAUUUAAGGUUCAGAUGCUCAGUAACAAACUCCACCAAUGAGCCAACAGGGAAGCUUUAGGUUUAUUAAAUGUUGCUAUGAAGGUAUCGCUGUUUUUCUUUGUGAAUGCAAUGUGCUCCAACUGAAACUUGAAUUAGAACUUUGAAGUAAAUCCUUCCAUCUGAAAGGAUUUAGUUGCAUUAAUAACCUCAUAACAUUCUAAUUUUUAUUCCAGUCUUAGUUGGAAAUAGAAUCUCUGUAUUGAUUCAGGUAAUAACUGAACUUCACAGCAUGUUGAAGCAAAACAACCAGAUGAAAACUGUGAUGGUGUUGGAUUGUCAGACCGUAAUGUUGCAGCUCAAAGCAGCUUUUCUAUCUCAGUUCAUUCUGACAUUCAGCUAUGAAUCAACACAGCAGAUGGUGAGCCAUGCUGUGGAAGUCUCACAUCUCCUGAUUUAAUGGAGCUGCUUUGCACUUUUUACACUGUUUAUUCACCAACACUUUAUUUAAUACAAGUCCCAUCUAGUUUUCAUGAGGAAUGUGAUGUUUUAAUGUCUCUGUGAAUAACUGCAGUCUAAUGCAACAGCUGGAGUUGUAACAUCUGUCCUGAUAUUGAUCAUGAAGUAUUGAUCAGAAUACUUAUGGUCAGCAGUCAUUCCUGAAGUUUUACAUUAAAAUCUUUACUUGUGUUGUGAACUUUAGUAAGAAGCAGAAACGUUAGCGUUGCCAUGGAUACAUGAGUGUUAAAUUCUGUCCAUGUUUCCAUUUUGGGAAAUGCAGUCCAGUUCCAGAAUGUGGAGAAAUUUAGUCUCACAAUCACAGACAAAAAAUAUUAUCUGAAAGUCGGGUUAUUGUUGUUUAUCAGCACAAUACAAAAAGAUUAAUGUUAGAAAUAUUCCAGUUCAGACUCUAGAAUAUCAUGAUUUAUGUAAAUUUACCUCAAUAAUAUGAAUGUUCAGGUUAAGAUUAUACAGCGAUAUUUAUUAUGUAAGUUUAGCUGAUUAAAGUUUAUGACUCUGCACUAAAAUAUUAUUUAAAUUGACAUCAUUAUUCUAAUAUUGAGGGUCAGACCCAGUAUUGAGAUAAAGAAAUCAAAUAUUCUAUAAAAUGUAAAUACACUGAACUCAUUUGGAUAUAUUUAAGUGAGACUCUACAAUAUUAUUUGACACAAAUCUAUCUAAAUCAAAAGUUUAAUAAUUUUCAUGUCAAACAUUUACUGGACUGAUUUAAAUAAUAAAAUCACUCCUUUCUAAUCCUCUGCUGUACGUUCAAACCUGAGGCCUUAAAUAGAAACACACAAGUAUCUGUUUGAAGGAACUUCUGCAGAGUCCUGGUUCCAGAACAUGAUGAUAGAAUUAUAGCCAAACUUUAACAAAAGCUGCCUGAGAGUUUACAGGUUUUUAUGUUGGAUUUCUUCAGUAAUUUAAUGAGCGUUAUCAGCAAUAAUCAAGUGUUCAUUUGAUGAACUUCAUUUCCUAAAACAUCCAGAAUUGGAGCUCAUAUCUUUGGCAGCUGUAAAGUUUCUGCUCCUUCAAAGUUCACAACACAAUGAAUUAAUUCCUAAAACACUCUCAGUGCUGGAGAACAUUUGAUGCUGAAGCAGUGAUCAGUUUUUCUGUUUCUUCUCUGGAGAUGCACCAUGAGGGACGUCUGCAGCGACUGAGAAAGAGUCUCGCCACAUCCUUACAUGAGGAAAAAGACUUUAUUGAAGACUACAAUGAGAAAAAAUAUCAGACAGCAGACGGCUGCAUUCAAGUCUGUAGCUGCUGAAUUCAUGGAUGAAUCAUCUGGCACUAGAGAGGAAGACCAUCAAACAUCCACGUCAGCUGAUGGAGGUCCAAGAGUCUCACCAAACAAACAACCUACAGAGUGAAGACCUCAAAUCUGAUUGGACGGCCUCCUAUUCAGCCACGUGUGAACAAAUGCCUCUAAGCUGAUUUGUUUUCUAAAAUAAAUCUAGUUUGAGUCCUAAUCUAUGCCUGUGUGUUUGCU